Long non-coding RNA from Lytechinus pictus (painted urchin), 2959 nucleotides. RefSeq lists it as uncharacterized. The record is from RefSeq and is a predicted model, not a curated record. The transcript is spliced from 4 exons. NCBI's taxonomy places the organism in Eukaryota, Metazoa, Echinodermata, Echinoidea, Temnopleuroida, Toxopneustidae.
CAGGCGGGCUCAUAUAGUCUAGCUGAAAAUAAACAAUCUGCACAUAACAACAGAGGUUUUUUUGAAAGAAGAGAACUGUGGCGUCGAAGAAGAUAUAUGAACUGGUGAGGGUACUUAAGCGGAAUGCUUUAAAAGGAUGAAAGAGAAACCAGACGAAAUUGAGUUGUCUCAAAUCAUCAUCAUCGCUGAGCAUGAUAAUCAACAACAUGUAUCCAAUGAGCUUGUCACCGAACAUGAUAUUUUACUAUAUGGAAAGCCAAACGAGAUAGAACAACCUGAUUAUUUUUACUUGGCUCUCUUCGCCUGCUUGUGUUGCUUUUUCCCGGUUGGUAUUUGCGCCCUAACAAAGUCCAUUCAGGUAAGGAGGUACAUGUCAUCUGGGCAGACAUUGAAUGCAGUACUCGCCUCUCAUGAUGCUCGUUAUUAUACAUCCGUCGCUAUUGGGGUUGGUUCAGCCUUUCUUUUGACUUCCGUCUGUGUAUUUAUCGUAAUAUAUGCGGCAUUCCGUACGUUAUGAAAAUAACUGUACUUAAACGAGUCAUAUGUGUGGUCAUCCAUGAUAAUAAUAAAAAUAAUAAUAACAAUAACACUGAUAAAGGAAAAUAUUGAAGAGGAUGCACAGCCCAAAAAAAUGUACCAAACAUAACUAUAAUAUCUAUGAUAAUACGAGCGCGAAUCGCGUGCUGUUUUUUUUUCGGAUUGAGACCCACAAAGCAGGAAAAUUUUGAACGCUUUUUUGUUAUCAUAAACGGGACACCUUUCUGACAAUUAAAUAUUGCGAACGCGAAGCGCGAACUUGAAAUUGUUUAAUAUUCAUAAAUGAAAAGGGACAUUUAAUGACUGUUUGUAGGAAUUCAUGAAAAAACAAGCCUAAGUAUCUCUUUAAUCAAAUAUUUUGAGCGGGAAGCGCAAGCUUAAAAAUUGUGAUAUUCAGAAACGAAACAUUUUUUUAAAAAGUAAUUAAUGAAGAGCAUAAAUAGAGCGUUGUGGCCCAGUGGAUUAGUCUUCUGACUUUUAAACAGAGGGUCGUGGGUUCGAAUCCCAACCAUGGCGUAAUUUCCUUCAGCAAGAAACUCGUCCACAUUGUGCUGCACUCAACCCAGGUGAGGUGAAUGGGUACCCGGUAGGAAGAUAUUCCUUGAAUGCUUGAGCACCUAGGCAACUCAGCUAAAGUCGGGGUAAUAAUAAUAGCAGGGCCCGCUGGGAGAACAAUUUUUAGAACUGAAAAGGCUUCCCUGGGUAAAUAUACCUAUAUUAUUAUUGUUGUUAUCAUCAUUAAUAUUAUUAUUAUUAUUAUUAUUAUUACAUGAACGCAUCUCACCAUUAAACCAAGGUGAGCGAGAAGCAGGGCCGAUCUUUUUGUAUACAUAUACAUCUAUCCAGACCUACAAGCAGAAACUUUAAGCCCCUUUGUUAGUCAUAAAAACUAUGUAUAUGUCACUAAAAAAAAUAAUGUAUUUAUUCAUUUAUUCAUUUAUAUUUAUUUAUAAGUUUUUUUUAGUAGGGUGGCUCCAUUAGUAAUUGGUAUACUGUUGUCCUUGGAGGCCCUACAACAAAAAUACGAACGUAAUAAACAUGGGUAUAAAAAGUGUACCGUUAGUUAAGACAAACAGACUGUGAAGAAGAGAACAAAACAAAGGGUCAGUUUAUAAAUUAAGGCUAUUAUAACGCGAAAGUGAAAGACAAAAACUGGACUGGAGACUGUCGGAAAAAUAAUAAACUGUCGGGCACACGGGGCUGUUCCAACUGAUUCGGUUUUUUAGUUCCACCAUCUUUGUCGGUAAAUGUCAAUUGAACUGUACACUUUUAUCGGUAAAUUGUGAAUUUUACGCAAUGCGACUUUUAGAGCUUUCUGUACCGAUCAUGAGUAAGGACUGGGCUGGCAGGGGACAGGAAAAAGGUACAGAACAACUUUUAGGUAAUGUAAUUAAAACAAUAAAAAUUUCGCUCGCGUUAAGCACUCGCAUCAAUUUAUUAGUUGGAUACCUGAAAUAAAUGUCUAGUUUUUAGGUUAAAAUAUUAAAAAAAUUCAGCUCGCUCUACGCGCUCGCAUCAAUUAAUUAUUCAGUUAGAAACCAAUUUGUUCAUGCUACUAAAAGUGCUUAGAAUAUCAAGUUUUAAGUCGGAAUAUCAAACUUUUAGCUCGCGAUUCGCGCCCGCACGACUAUUCAGAUACCCAUCCUGUAAAACUGCUUAGAAUGUCUAGUGUCCAGUUAGGAAUAUCAAUUUUUUUUGCUCGCACUUCGCGCCCGCAUAAUUUAUUUAGGAAGAUACCAAUCGUAUUAAUGAAUAAGUGCACAAAAUGUAUCGUUUUAGGUCUAAUUUUUAAGAAAAAUAGCUCGCGCUUCGCGCUCGCAAUUAUUAUAUUUAUAUUAUUAUUUUUAACUGAUUUUAAUGUCAAAUACCUUUUUUAUAACGUCUCCAAAUCAGCAGAAUUGGGAAUAUAAUGUAAACACCUUCAGGGAGGAAUAAAAGAAGUAUAUUAAUAUAAACAUUGCAAUUACCACUUGAUUAGAAAAAUAUCGAUCACGAUCCAAUGCAUUUCCUUUCCUGGAAUGAAAUACAAAAAAAAAAAUUGACAAUAAAGUGUAAUCGCCCGAUAGCAAAUAUCAGUAGUAGCAAGAUCCCAACUGUUUUACUGGGCACCCCCUGGGUAACAUUUCCCACCUUCAGUGCCACUGCCAGACCUACACAUCCAAACGUGUAUGGGGGGUGGGCUGCAAAAUGCAGGGCAACGAGGACUGCGAGGUGCCCAAAUAUCCUCGUGUAUUGGUAAUUUUAUGACCGAAUGUAUAAGUUCUGCACGUUUCACAUCAUGUAAAAAGGCUAAAUAAUAAUUGAAAAAGAAAUUAAAAACUGUGAAGUUGAUAUUUGGGCAAUGAUUAUCAGACCUCUUGAAAAAAAUAUGCCUAUAUACGUCCAUGCCUACUACCCUCCUACCACCUUGCUCAUUCUUGUC